CCCGCUGAAUUUAAGCAUAUUAAUAAGCGGAGGAAAAGAAACUAACAAGGAUUCCCCUAGUAAUGGCGAAUGAAGCGGGAAAAGCUCAAAUUUAAAAUCUCCGUUGCUUGCAACGGCGAAUUGUAGUUUCGAGAAGCACUUUCUCGGCGGAUCCGAGGUCGUCCAAGUUGCUUGGAACAGCACGUCGUAGAGGGUGAAAACCCCGUCUGCGGCGACCUCGGCCGUUCACGAUGUGCUUUCGACGAGUCGGGUUGUUUGGGAAUGCAGCCCAAAAUGGGUGGUAAACUCCAUCUAAAGCUAAAUAUUGGCACGAGACCGAUAGCGAACAAGUACCGUGAGGGAAAGAUGAAAAGCACUUUGAAAAAAGAGUUAAAAAGUACGUGAAACCGUUAAAAGGGAAACGAAUGGGGUUAGCAAUGCGUCGUGCGAGAUUCAGCCGGUGGGUGGGCCAGGCGGGCGGUUGGCGGAUCUGAAUGGACCGCUGCCGUUCGGGUUGGUUUCCCGACCGUCGCACUUCUCGCAGGCGCGCGCCAACGUCGGUUAGGGCUGGGUCUCAAAGGCGGUGGAAAGGUAGGUUUUGACUCUCGGGCCCGAAGUGUUACAGUCCUCCGUUUGUCAUGGCCCGGACCUGACCGAGGAGCUUGCGGUGCAUGCCGUUCGGCUAGGGUCCCGUCUUCCCGGUCGGUCGUCGAAUGCGGUGGACUGCGUGCAGUGCGCCGCGACUGCUGCCGGUCGCGAGGGCGGUGAUUUCGUACUAUGCACCCACGACGUUGGCGGUCAUAUGGCCUCAUCCGACCCGUCUUGAAACACGG
Molecule: ribosomal RNA, 812 nt
Filed under: Nematostella vectensis (starlet sea anemone)
Lineage: Eukaryota; Metazoa; Cnidaria; Anthozoa; Actiniaria; Edwardsiidae
Description: Eukaryotic large subunit ribosomal RNA
Rfam family: Eukaryotic large subunit ribosomal RNA
Source: Rfam by way of RNAcentral